RNAcentral lists this transfer RNA (87 nucleotides) under Sedimenticola thiotaurini. Its description in RNAcentral is "tRNA-Leu". It matches the Rfam family "tRNA". Rfam says of the family: Transfer RNA (tRNA) molecules are approximately 80 nucleotides in length. Their secondary structure includes four short double-helical elements and three loops (D, anti-codon, and T loops). RNAcentral also lists the same sequence under 4 other names. The record is from RNAcentral. Lineage: Bacteria; Pseudomonadati; Pseudomonadota; Gammaproteobacteria; Chromatiales; Sedimenticolaceae.
GCCGAGGUGGCGGAAUUGGUAGACGCGCUAGCUUCAGGUGUUAGUUGGGGAAACCCAGUGGAGGUUCAAGUCCUCUCCUCGGCACCA